AACGAACGCUGGCGGCAUGCCUAACACAUGCAAGUCGAACGAGACCUUCGGGUCUAGUGGCGCACGGGUGCGUAACGCGUGGGAAUCUGCCCUUGGGUUCGGAAUAACAGUUGGAAACGACUGCUAAUACCGGAUGAUGACGUAAGUCCAAAGAUUUAUCGCCCAAGGAUGAGCCCGCGUAGGAUUAGCUAGUUGGUGAGGUAAAGGCUCACCAAGGCGACGAUCCUUAGCUGGUCUGAGAGGAUGAUCAGCCACACUGGGACUGAGACACGGCCCAGACUCCUACGGGAGGCAGCAGUGGGGAAUAUUGGACAAUGGGCGAAAGCCUGAUCCAGCAAUGCCGCGUGAGUGAUGAAGGCCUUAGGGUUGUAAAGCUCUUUUACCCGAGAUGAUAAUGACAGUAUCGGGAGAAUAAGCUCCGGCUAACUCCGUGCCAGCAGCCGCGGUAAU
Molecule: ribosomal RNA, 450 nt
Filed under: uncultured bacterium
Lineage: Bacteria
Description: bacterial SSU rRNA
Rfam family: Bacterial small subunit ribosomal RNA
Source: RNAcentral